AAACAACGAUGAAGAGUUUGAUCCUGGCUCAGGAUGAACGCUAGCGGCAGGCCUAACACAUGCAAGUCGAGGGGUAACAGGGAGCUUGCUCCG
Molecule: ribosomal RNA, 93 nt
Filed under: Paracellulophaga baltica
Lineage: Bacteria; Pseudomonadati; Bacteroidota; Flavobacteriia; Flavobacteriales; Flavobacteriaceae
Description: Cellulophaga baltica partial 16S ribosomal RNA
Rfam family: Bacterial small subunit ribosomal RNA
Source: RNAcentral